CUUCUUCUCCCUCGUCAUGUGCUUUUUGCAUCCGCUGUCAAUAAUCCAGCUUGGGUUUUAGGUACCCAAUUCUUGUUGGGUCCUACAAGGUUAGUCACAUAAGACUUUGGAACCCAGAUGCAAGUUUUGUCUCUCUUGCACUUAGGCCCCAAAUUUCUAGCAACUAUUUUAUCAUUUUUACACAUAAGCACAAAUGAAGCAUCAUAAGUAUGAUAAAGCAUAUUUGGGUCAUUAGAUGCAUUUCUAGGCACAUGGGAAGCAAUAUGAUGAGCAUAGUGCCUAGAUCUAUUCGUACCAUGAGCAUAUGAAGAGCUAGAUAAUGCAAACAUGGCAUGUGAAUCAAAUACAGCAUCAUGACGAGUAUGAACAACACUAGAAGCAUUCUUAACAUGAGCAUAAAGAUAGGCAUGGUUCUUUUUGUCAUGUGAAGAAUGAGAGCUACUAGUCAUAGGAGCCUUUCCUUUCUCCUUGAUGAGAUUGGAGGCCCUUUGGCUUGUUAAGUUCUUGGUUCCCUUUUGGAAGCCAAGUCCAUCCUUAAUGGAGGGAUGUCUACCAACGGUGUAGGCAUCCCUAGCAAAUUUUAUUUUAUCAUUUUCACUCUUGCAAGUCUUAAGUUGAGCAUUAAGAUUUGCAACAUCAUUAUUCAACUUAAGAAAAGUAGAAGCAUGGGCAUUGCAAGCAUCAACAUCAAAAUCUUUACACCUAUUACAAAUAGACACAUGCUUCACAGAUGAACUAGUAAUAUUCACUUUUUCUAGCUUAGCAUUUAAAUCAGCAUUUAAACUCUUAAGGCUAGACAUGGGUUCUUUACAAGAAGAUAAUUCAGAAGAAAACAAAUUCAUUUCUCUUAACCUCUAAAGCAAGAGAUUUUUCAGCAUUAACAAGUUUAUCGUGUUCUUCAUAAAGAAUAUCUUCUUGAUUUUCUAACAAUCUAUCUUUCUCAUUAAGGGCAUCAAUUAAUUCAUUAAUUUUUAUCAACUUUGGAUCUAUCUAAACCCUUAAAGAGAUCACUAUAGUCUAUAUCAUUAUUAGAUUCCUCAUCACUAGAAGAAGUGUACUUAGGAGUAUCUCGAGUACGUACCUUAUUCUCCUUAGCCAUGAGGCAUGUGUGAUGCUCGUUGGGGAAGAGGCAGGAUUGUCGAAGGCAGAGGCAGCCAGUCCUUCAUCGUCGGAGUCAGAUGAAGAAAAGUCAGAGUCUCAUUCCUUACCAAUGUGCGCCUAGCCCUUCACCUUCCUGUAGUUUUUCUUCCUCUCCUUCCCUUUCCUUUCUUGUGCUCGGUCAUCAUUAUUAUCGAGGCAUUGUGCUAUAAAAUGACCAGUCUUACCACAUUUGAAGCAGGAGCGAUUUUCCCUUGAUUUAUUCUUGUUGGGAUAGUCCUUGCAUCCCUUCAAAGGGGUCUUGAAGCGCUUGAUCACAAGCGUCAUUUCCUCCUCGUUGAGCCCGGCAGCCUCCACUUGUCCCACCCAAUUCACUACAGGAAUCCUAAUGAUUCCUGUCGGCCAAGAUAAUUCCCGUCGGCUAGGAAAAAAGCCGACGGGGAUAACGUAACUCCCGUCGGCUACACAGCAGCCGACUUGAAUAACUUAACGCCCGUCGGCCAGAGAGUAGGCCGACGGGAGUUAACUUAACUCCCGUCAGCCAGAACAUAGGCCGACGGGGAUUACAUAACUCCCGUCGGCCAGAGCGCAGGCCGACGGGGAUUAGGCUUUUAUGAGCGCGGGUUCACCCGCGCGGGCUCAUUUCUCUGUCUUUCCUUCCUAGCCGCCGCCGCCUCCUGCCCUAUUCGCCGCCGCCUCUAACCGCCGCCGCGCCGCCGCCCCUCCCCGCCGGCGUGCCUUCCCGGCUGAGCCCGACCGUCCACGCCGCGCACCCGGCCGCCCCGGUGCCGCCCGUCCGCUCGCGGCGCCGCGCGCCCAGCCGCCACACCGCCGCCCGCCCGUCAGCGCCGCCGCGCGCCCGUCAGCGCCGCCGCGCGCCCGGCCGCCCGGCCCCGCCGUGCCCGCCCUCGCUCGUCUCCGUCGUGCCCCACACCGCCCACAUCGCCGCCGGGCCUCCCAUCGCGCUCACAAACGCCGCCGCCGCCGCCGCCACCUCUCGGAGCGUCGUCGCUGCCUCCUCGAGCGCCGCCGCCGCACCCAAGCGCCGCCUCCGCCCCCGACCGCAUCUCCGAACCAACUACGACACCCACGUGAGUUAAUUAUGUGUGUACAUGUUAAUGCAUUGGAUUGUGAAUGUUAAUUAUGUGUGUACAUGUUUAUUUUCGUCGGUUUUUUAUGGCCGACGGGAGUUAACUUUUAUGUGAUUAGUAUUAAUUUAAUAACACAUGUGAUUAGAGUGUGAUUAUAGUUAAUUUAAUAUCACAUGUGUGGCUUCAUGUUAGGUAACUGUUAAUUGUAUUCUUAUAGUAGAUUUAACUUAUACUAUUGAAUUGUUAAAUUUAAUGUUAUUUAUUGAUUAGAUUUAACUUAUAAUAUUAGGAUGUAUGAAGGUUUCGAUAUUGAUUAAUUUGAUGUUAUUUAUGUGUAUAUAUAAUUAUUUAUGUAUAUAUAUAGUUUUACUACUUACCUAUAGAUGUAUAUAUGUAUGUAUAUAUAUGUGUGACGUGUAGAAACGUGAUUGUCUCACACACACUCUUUACUCGUACACAGCCGCAAUAAUGGGUGAUAGACAUGAUUGGAUGUAUGAAGGUUUCAAGAAGGGUGGGUGUCACACUAGUGAAUGGUUUGCCAAGACGCAAAUAUUUCUGGACCAUGCGGCUGCUUUGUCACAAAUAGAUAAUAUUAGGUGUCCAUAUGCAAUAAAUGUAGAAAUAUGACGAGCCACACCAAGAGGCAGGGCUCGGGACCAGUGGGGCCAACAGGGCGAACCGGCUGACAACCUGAUGGAUGAUGGCUCGGGAGGCUCUUCAGCGACACGCACACGUCGCUCAAGAAAAAGCCACUCAGUAAAGCCUCGUCACGCGAUAGAGCGAGAGGCUGAUAGGACUUUAAUCAUGCCACAUGGAGAUCGGUGAGUGUAAUAUAUUAACUUAUCUCAUAUAACUAUUAUGUGUAUUGUUAAUGUUUUUGUGUAAUGCAGGAAUUGGGAGGACCUGUCCUUUGACGGCAAGGGACACCACACUCAGGUUAACCUUACGUUGGGUUCUCUUUGCCGCCUUCACUACCCUGGUAUAGUGAAGGUGUCAAACGGUGAUACCGAGGAUGAGGUGCUCGUCAGUACCUGGGACGAGUACAAGUUUAAAAAGGAACGAAACCACACUGACAGACAGGGACUUGUGCGUAAUGACUUUUGGGUAUGAAUUCUUUAUUAUUUUUGUUAUGUUUCUUAAUAUUGUAAAUCUAUGACUUAUACCAUUGUAUUUGUAUUCUUUAUGUUGUAGCUUCGAUAUCGGUUGCCUGACGGAGAGGAUUACAUGGGGCACGCUGAACGUGUCUUCCAAAACAAUGCAAAGAAGCUGGUGAAGGAUGCCAUAUACUAUGCGAGAAUUCAGGCUACAAACCUGUAUUUUCAAAAGCAUCCGGAAGAAGCAGGCCCCUUGAAUAAAAAGGAAGGGUCCUCAAAGAUAUAUUUGUUUUACCCUUUAUAUUUAUUGUUGUGAUUGAUAAUAUGUAACAUUGUGUGUGUGCAGGUGAUGGUUCCAUGGAUGGCGCCCGUGCCUGAUGCGUACUAUGCUUGGUGUCGAUAUUGGGCUUCCGAAGGCUUCCAGAAAGCGUCAGCGCAUCACAGACAAUGUCGAGGAACCAAUCCUAACCACAAGUUUGGCGGUGACGACAUGAUACGAAAAGCUAAAAGAAUGGUAAGUUUGAUCUAUCUAUGUCAAUCAGCAAAUAAUACGAUUGCUUAUGAAUGUUUUUUGUUUAUACAGGAAGCUACGAGUGGCCAAAAGCCUAGUGACAUUGAGGUCUACUAGGAGGGCCACAAAGGACCAGACCCGAACAACCCUGACCAGCUCUACAUCCAGACAGCCACGAAUCGCUUGGUGAGUUUUGGCUCAAAAGUUCAAACGUUCAAAGUAUAUAAAUUCCAGCAUUUGUAAGGUUGUGAAUGAUGUAUAGGUGGCAUAUGGGGAGGAGAUGGUUCGUCGCCAUGGCCCUGACUUCGACUAGCGCCAUGAACCGGUGGAUCCCUCAGUGGUGUACGCAAGUGGUGGUGGCAAAGCGCAUGGACGGUAAGCUCUAACUUAUGAAAUUAUAUGGUUGACACUAAAUUGAUUAUACAGUAAUCACAUUUUUUGAAUAACUUAUAGAUACGCACUCUUCGACGGAUUCAUUGACUCGUCGUCGGUGAGAUCUCAGAGGACGGGUUCAUCUUCCCGUAGCUCAUGCUCUCGUCGACCGAACGAGCAGGAGUUGGAGAUUAUGAGGAUGCGGGAAGAGAUGAGACAACAACGCGAAUUUAUGGAGGCUUGCAAUGCACAUAACCAAGCGAUGUAUCAAGUGAGUACACAUAAUCCGAACUCUAAAUUAUUAUAUUUCAAUACAACAUCUUCGGUAGUAACACAUAUGUGUUUAACAGUUAAUGCAUCAACAGGGCAUGACAUCAAAUUUUCCACCGCCACCACAAUGGAGCCAAUUUGCAAACACACCAGUUCCACCACCACAGUUCACCACCCCUCCGACACAUAUACCUGCACCUGGAGAUAGGGUACGUUUGAUAACUCUCCAUUAAUUUAUAUACUUGUAUACUUUUUUGAUAUUUGCAUUUAACGUGAUGAUAUUUGCUAACUUGCAUAGGUUACGCCCGAAGCGGGUGGUAGUGGGUCUGAUCCCGCAGCAGGGACUGGAUUUGUUGACUCGCUCUUCGCGUUCCCUCCUCCUGGUGGUGGUGGCGGCAGCGUUCAAAGCUCUAACCACCCAAGUGGUGGUUAUCUCUAAACACUUGAACAUGUUUCUUAACUUGUGGACUCUUGGUCGUACUUGAACAUAUGUCGUACUUAUAUUUCAAUACUAUGUCGUACUCGUUGACUCGAUGUGGUGGUUGAACUUAUAUUUGAAAUGUUGGUGGAUGUUAUGUUUGUAAUGCGUGAUUUUAUGAUGAAUGCAUGUGUUUGUAAUGUGGCUGUUAUCUGUGAUUUAUGUUAUGUGUGAUAUAUGUUAUGUGUGCAGAAAUAGUGUCCUAAUUUAGUGCUGUUUUUGUAGCAGUAUAGGGUAAUUCUCGUCAGCCUAGUUAAUUCCCGUCGGCUAUGGUCGAACCGACGGGAAUUAACUAAUAACUCUCGUCGGCCCAGUUAAUUCCCGUCGGCCUGAGGAACCGACGGGAAUUAACUAAUAACUCCCGCCGGCCUAGGGAACCGACGGGAAUUAACUAAUAACUCCCGUCGGCCUGGGGAACUGACGGGAGUAAGCAUUAAUUCCCGUCGGCUAGUUAGUGGCCGACAGGAAUUAAUAAUUCCCGUCAGCCGCCGACGGGGAUAAAUUUAUCCCCGACAAGGGACGCCUGGCGGCUGAAAACCGACGGGAAUAAGCCCUAAACCGAUGGGAAUUAAGUAAUUCCCGUCGGUUUAUGCUUAUUCCCGUCGGUUUCCGGUCGACGGGAAUUAAGUGAAUUCCUAUAGUGAUUAGGUAGCGCCUCCUUGCUGCUUGUUGCCUUGAGGGCAACAGGCUGCGGCUUGUAGAGUGGGAGUGGUCCAUUGGCGAUGUCAUCAAUGUACCUAGCCUCCUUUAUCAUCAUGCACCCCCUUAUGAAUUUUUCAAGGAUUUCCUCGAGCGUCAUUUUUGUGUACCUAGGAUUCUCACGAAUAAGAUUUACAAGAUGAUGAUCAAUAACGGUAAAUGACCUUAACAUGAGUCGAACGACGUCAUGGUCCGUCCAUCUUGUACUUCCAUAACUCCGGAUUUUAUUCACCAGUGACUUGAGCCUGUUGUAUGUUUCGGUUGGCUCUUCUCCUCUUUUCAUGCCGAAUCUCCCAAUCUCACCUUCCACCAAUUCUUUUUUGAUGAUCAUAGUGACAUCGUUUCCUUCAUGAGAAAUCUUGAGGGUGUCCCAAAUUUGUUUGGCGUUGCAAGGCGCUAACUUUGUUAUAUUCAUCCCUACAUGGAGAUUGUGACGGAACCUCCCAAGUAAUUAGGCCCACCUACAGUUGUCCUUGUCUAACAGACAUCAGACACCCUGUAGAUGUUCCUAAGUCACUUGACAAGUUCGGUAUCUUUCCUUACCUUACCAGGAACGUUUCACCCGUCUUGCAGACAUUACAGAACAUCGGAGAUAAAGAAAUGCGGAAGCGAUCACAUAAAUUACAUUUAUUUUAAAAGCAAGCUUAAGUUAUUUUAUUACAGACCAGAACUAAAAAAAGGCGAGUGCUGAGUAGUAAUAUUAUACAAACCAAGGGAGGCACAGACUCCUCCCGAUAAGUUAUAAGCAAAAGAUCCUAUGUGGAGGACCGAGUCCUCCCGCACUUCAGUCUUGUUUUUCUUCUUUAGGAACCACCUUGGCACAGAAGCAGCAGAAAUCUGCUACUUCCUCACCUAAAAACAACGAAGGGAUAAACCCUGAGUAUGGAAUUACUCAGCAAGUCUUACCCGACUAAAGAAAAGACUCUCAAGGGUAUGCUGGUUAUAUGGGAGUCAAGGUAAGGCUUUUCAAUAAUCAAAGACUCUGUUUUGCAGAAAUGCUUACUAAAGUGGAUCCUUAAAAAUCCAAUUUUAUUUGUCAAGUUAAGUACAAUUACCUGCAACUAGAGUUCUUUCUACCCUAGUUCAAUCACUGGUCCUGCACUAGCCAAUUUCUUAACAAAAGCCCAUCAUCUUUAGUAGAAUGCUACGUGUAGGGCAGUGACCAAGUCUUCAUAACCGCGAAGGUACGGCGAUCCAAAUCGAUUAUACUCAGCUGAGGAUCUCCAAUCACACGACAUAUGUAGCACUUAACCCUUUUAUAUGUCAACCCGCCACCGGGGUUCUUAAGACCAGAUCAGGUUCACGCAAACCGAGAGCAUAGAUACACCACCGUCCAGCCUCUUGCCACGGAGGGUACACGCUACUCUCGCCACCGCUCCACGCCCAUUUCGUGUUAUCUUAUUCUGGCCUUAGUCUGCCUGAGGCAAGGCUUACCCAUGACGAGGCAUGUGACCAGUUAAAGGGUCCUCGAUCAUCAAGCCUACAUCGACAAGGUCCUUAAUCGACUCAGAUGGAGACACUACACCGAGACUCUCUUCUCGUGCAAGUCACCCGCCCGGUCUCAGCUUAAUAUUUUAACCCAAAAACUUGGUACCUGGCAGAGGUACAUCUUUUCCGAUGUUGAAUCCAUCAUGGCCAUGAUGGAUUCACCAUCAAGUUUUAUUUUCGAAAACAACCCUCCCACUUUGCCAAACAUCUUUUGUAAAACAAAUCCUUUUGUUUUUCUAAAGCAAUACUAAGCAUAGUAAAACCUUUUUGUAAAAACAGGGUUUCAAGGAGGGUAAUCAAGAUCAAGGAAGGUAAUGCAAGAAUUGUUUUAUCAAGCAACUCCUAUCACCUAAUGCAGCAAUCAAGUGAGAAAGAUUUUAAAAACAUCAAGGAAGGUGGCAAAUGCACCGGGGCUUGCCUUCGUUUACAGGUGAGUCGGGUUCGGAUCCACAAAUAUCGAAGUAGAAGCAGUUGCCUGCUUGAGAAUCCGAAGGUGGUGGUGUCCUUUCCUCGGUGACUUCUAUUUCUUCUUCACGUUCUAAUCAUAACCAUAUAUAUACAUAUAUAAGAAUGAAUGCCAUGUAAUGUGCAUGAGAGUGCAAAGAUAAUAAAGAUUUAUUAUCUAAGUCUUGAAUACAACUUUCCUUCACGGAACUCCGAGAACUUAGGGUUUCCGGAGUCGGUAAAGGAGUUCAUAGGGCAGGGGGGGUGUUUUGGGGUUUGGUGAUCAAACAAGGUCCAAAUCAACCCAAACUCUACCCAAGGCUUCUAAAUAUUGCUUUAAGUUCCCAUAAAAAGUUUGGGCAUUUUUGGACUUUCCAAUUAUUUUCUAAAAAUACAUAACCAAUAUUUUUAACUACUUUAACUGCCCUAAAAUUUCUUAUUUCUACUAAAAAUCACAAAACUAUUUUUAUUAAAUUCUAGGGAAAAUAACAAGCCUAGGAAAAUUGGUUUCACAAUUUUAUCAUUUUUCUACUGUUUUCUAUAAUUGUUUUGGCUCUAGAGAUAAAAGAAAAAGAAAACAAAUGAAUAGUAUUGGACCGAAUCCAGCCUAGGACGGCCCACGACCAGAAGAAAUGCGCGCGCCCGCGCCCGCUGUGGAGUUUUUGCAACAGGGCCCUUGGGGUUUUAACUAAUUGGAGAUGGGUUUGAUUACUAUUUUACUGUGUCGCUGACAAUUUGCAGAUAAGCCCUUCAUGUUCUAUUUCUUCGCAGAGGGAGGUCCACGACAACGGCCGCGUGGAGGAUGAACUCCGGUGAGGUUGUGCCAGCGGAUUUAAGCAAUGGCCAGUGCUCCCGAGCGGUGUACACCGGAUUAAACCCUUCCCGAACGAUUCCCCUAACUUAAUUUCACGAUUGGUAAGCUAUCACGCCUUGUCCACGUGAACCGCGAAUGAUGAGGACAAUGGUACGUGUUCCCGGUGAUCCCUAGUGGUCCGGUUCAAUUAAAGGGUUCGAGGGGUUUGCGGGGUACCUAAGGAGGCUAGAACAAGUGGCAGAGGGACUUGAGCUCACCUGAAUUGAGCUGGCCACGGUGAGGUCUUCUUUGCGGUGGCGGAAUCCGAAUUGGGGGAAGUGAGCGAUUCUCUGGCUAUGGGGGCUAAUCGGAGACGGGAGUGGUGGCUAUGGCUUCGGUAUGACCUAGCGCAGCUGGCCGGGGGCUCAAUUUAUAGGCGGAGCAAGCGGUGGCACUUGAAUUGAUGAUGGCGCGGUGGCGGCCGGAGAGGAGGAAGAACCUUGGCGCGCGUGGUUACGUGUCCUAUGGCGUGGCAGUAACUCCGGUGAUCGAUAGACAGUUAGAGGGGGUCACGGUGAUGCGGUGGCGCGGUUAAGACGCGCGGCACACGGUCGGACGGCGGCGGUUCACCGGUGAGCCUAUCGCUCCAGUCGCAAAGCAGAGGGGAAGGCAGGGGAGGCCGUCGGAGUGGUGUCCAGCUCACCGGCGGUGAGGAUCUUUACCGAGCUAUGUUUAUCCGAUGGCCACGACGCACGGAUCACGGCGAGCGGUGAUCAAUGGUGAUGGACCACCGGCGACGAGCAGAGGGAUAGGAUCUUCUUCAGUUACCCUUUACUGUACCAUGGGACAUUCAGUUUAUGACGCCUGACAGUCAUAGUUUAGGCUCGAUUUUCUCACAAAUUUUCAUGGCAACAUACCUAAUGAUCUGUAGCAAAGUUAUAGAUCUACAAUCCAUCUAUAACUUUACUACAAUGUGCUCCCACAAAAAGUCACUGGAUCUUGCUUAAAAUCAAGCCCUAAGUUCAUGUCAUCCUACUGUUAAUCUGAAUUUCAGACAUCAAGCAGUCUAACAGUCCAACUUCAGGCCCAAUUAUCUCCCAACUUUUCACAAGAACAUGGCUUGCACUCUCAAGCAAACUUGUUGUCCUAUAAUUGGGCUAUAAUUUUGGUGUGGUGACCUAGGGCACAAACCCCAUAAUUUGAAAGUUACAAGGGCUUCAAGUUGAGGCAAUCACACUGAAAUGCAGACUUAACAAAAAAGGGUUAAGUAUGGCUCUUUUGCACUUAAGUCCAAAUCUCAAGUUUUGGAUUGCAAAUUCACAUAUGAUUGACCCAAAUGCCCUAAUAUACUUAUUUAACUUGGUUUUUCACUUUAACCCAAAAGUGGACUAAUUUUGCACAUAGGCCCCUAGGGUUUAGUUCCAGGGUUUCAAUUAGGGUUUCUGGUAUCCCAGGGGUAUAAAUGUGACUCCACUUGGUUUUUGGGGAUAUUUUAUGACUCUUUCCCUAAAACCCUUAGGUUUUCUCAUCUUAGAUUAAGUUUUACCCCUUUAACCUCUAUUUAGGGUUAAGUUCCUUAACCAGGGUUCCAUUUGCAAAAACAUUAAAACAAUACAACUUGUUUGAAAUUUUUGCCUAGUGAAUGCACUCUAGGUGUGUCAAACAUAUGCAAUGCCAAUGCUAUGAUGUCAUGCUCAAGUUUUUGUUAUAGUAACACCAGGGGUGUUACAUCCUUCCCCCCAUAAAAGAAUCUCGUCCCGAGAUUAAAAGUCCUAGGGUAAGUAAUGGAAAAGGAAACGUGGAAUACUUUUAUUUCCUUAUUUUUGGUACAAGGCAGGGGUGAUGUGGGGGUUUCAUUCCUUUAUUGCAAUAACUAUAUACACUUUACAAAUUACAUGAGGCUAGAAAGCCUGGGAAAUUCUUAUUCAAGAAGUCUUGAGUUUUCCAAGUAGCUUCAUCUUCAGAAUGUUGGUUCCACUGUAUCUUAUAAAACUUGAGAGUUUUUCUCCGGGUAACCCUGUCCUUUUGAUCCAAGACUCGAAUAGGGUGCUCAGAGUAUGUCAAGUCCGGUUCAAGGACAACAUCCGUUACUUCAAUGGUUCGAUCGGGAACCCGAAGACACUUCUUCAAUUGUGACACAUGGAACACAUUAUGCACAGCAGACAAGGUUUCGGGUAGUUGGAGUCGGUAUGCCACUGGUCCACAUUGCUCAAGUACCAGGAAUGGACCAAUGUACCUGGGUGCAAGCUUCCCUUUAACCCCAAAACGCGAUACUCCUUUCAUUGGUGAGACUUUCAGGUAAACAUAGUCUCCUUCCAGGAAAUAUAAGGGCAUUCACCGUGUGUCUGCAUAACUCUUCUGACGAGCUUGUGCCUUCUUCAUAUUAUAAAUAAUUUUCUGAACCUUAUCCUCGGCCUCUUUCACCAUAUCAGGCCUAAAGAAGCACCUUUCACUAGGUUCGGACCAAUUUAGCGGAGUACAACAUCGACGUCCAUAUAAAGCUUCAAAGGGUGCCAUCUUGAUACUUUCUUGAUAGCUAUUAUUAUAUGAAAACUCCGCCAAAGGCAAACAUUCAUCCCAUUUCUGUGAGAAGUCCAGAACACAUGCCCGCAGCAUAUCUUCAAGUAUUUGGUUCACUCUCUCAGUCUGUCCACUGGUUUGAGGAUGAUAGGCCGAACUGUGGAGUAACUUAGUACCUAGGGAUUUAUGAAGUUCUUCCCAGAAUUUGGAUACAAAUUGUGGUCCACGAUCCGACACUAUAGUCUUUGGAACACCAUGCAAACUGAGAAUACGGGCGAUGUACAACUCCGCAUAGGUAAUGACGGGAUAUUUUACUUUGACAGGGAGGAAGUGGGCAAUCUUGGUAAGUCGAUCAAUGAUAACCCAAAUAGAGUCAUAUCCUUUUGCGGUCCUGGGCAAUCCCACAAUAAAGUCCAUACUGAUGUCUUCCCAUUUCCAUGUUGGUAUUGGUAGCGACUGUAAUGGACCAGCAGUUUUCAUGUGUAUGGCCUUGACACGUCUGCAAAUGUCACACUUAGCCACAUAGCGUGCAAUUUCGAUCUUCAUCUUUGUCCACCAGUAAUGUUGCUUUAAGUCUUGGUACAUCUUAGUGCUUCCGGGAUGAAUAGAAUAACGACUAAGAUGUGCUUCAUCAAGAAUUUGCUGGUGGAGUUCUUCGUUCUUCGGCACUACUAUGCGGUUUUUAAACCAUAUCACACCUUGAUUGUCUUCCUUGAAACAUUUGGCUACUCCAGCCCUUAACUUCUCUCGUAUGUGCUUCAUACCCAGAUUAUCUUUUUGAGCAUCAAUUAUCCUUUGCAAAAUGAUUGACUCAAGCUUUAGCUGAUUUAGAGUCCCUUGUUGGAUUAUUCCCAGGUUUAGCUUCUCCAUUUCUUGACAUAAAGUGUUCUCGGAGGUCUUCACCAUAAGACAGUGGCAGGAAGCCUUACGGCUCAGUGCAUCUGCCACCACAUUGGCUUUGCCUGGGUGAUAAUGGAUCUCCAGUUCAUAGUCUUUAAUAAGCUCAAGCCAUCGUCUUUGCCUCAUAUUUAAUUCUGACUGGGUGAAAAUAUACUUCAAACUUUUAUGAUCUGUAUAUAUGUGACAGAUAUUUCCCAGCAGAUAGUGACGCCAAAUUUUUAGGGCAUGAACCACAGCAGCUAGCUCCAGAUCAUGAGUUGGGUAAUGCUCCUCAUGUCGGCGCAACUGCCUUGAAGCAUACGCAAUUACUCGGCCCUCUUGCAUUAGUACACAGUCGAGUCCAUUGCCUGACGCAUCACAAUAUACAUCAAAAGGCUUAGUGAUGUCCGGUUGAGCUAAUACCGGAGCAGUGGUUAAUAAUGUCUUCAAUUGCUCAAAGGCUUCAUUACACUUAGAAGACCAAUUGAACUUAAUGUCAUUCUUCAAUAAACUUGUGAUUGGCUUCACAAGCUUAGAAAAAUCUGGUAUGAAUCUGCGAUAAUAUCCAGCUAGUCCAAGAAAACUCCGGACUUGGUGAACAGUGGUUGGGGGUUUCCACUCCAGAAUAUCUUUGACCUUGCUAGGAUCUACCACAAUUCCUUUAGCCGAUAACACGUGCCCCAGAAAUUGAAUUUCCUCCAGCCAGAACGCGCACUUGCUGAACUUGGCAUACAGCUGAUGUUCCCUCAGGCGCGUCAAUACAAUCCGUAGAUGCUGAGCAUGGUUCUCUUCAUUUUUAGAAUAUAUCAAGAUAUCGUCGAUGAAGACCACCACGAACUUGUCCAACUCGGGCAUGAACACCGAGUUCAUCAAAUAGGUGAAGUGGGCAGGAGCAUUUGUGAGCUCGAAAGACAUUACCAGGUAUUCAAACAAUCCGUACCGCGUAGUAAACGCGGUCUUCGGUAUAUCCUCAGGCCGAAUACGGAUUUGGUGAUAGCCCGACCUGAGAUCAAUUUUGGAAAAUACCCUCGCCCCAGUCAGUUGAUCAAAUAAGAUGUCGAUCCUUGGAAGAGGGUACUUAUUCUUGAUGGUGACCUCAUUCAGGGGUCGAUAAUCCACGCACAUUCGCAAGGUUUGAUCCUUCUUCUUAACAAAAAUGGCGGGGCAACCCCAUGGGGACGAGCUUGGCCGGAUGAAUCCCUUAUUCAGUAGAUCUUGUAAUUGAAUCUUCAAUUCCGCCAACUCAUUAGGGGGCAUACGGUACGAUCUUCAGGAGAUGGGAGCCGUACCGGGCUUUAGCUCAAUUAUGAAUUCUACAUCUCUUUCAGGGGGCAGUCCAGGCAAAUCUUCUGGAAAUACAUCUGGAAACUCACAUACUACCGGAAUGUUCUUGAUCUCCAGUACAAUGGCUUCAUAUACUCUACCAGAAGCUUUGGCUAGAUUAGUUACGGGGAGAGACAAAAGAAUCUCUUCUUGAUUAUAGCUCAACCUGACGGUUCUGAGUUCAGUGUUGAGAAUUGCCUUGUGUUGGGUUAACCAAUUCAUACCCAAAAUCACAUCUAUAUCCUGGCCUUUCAGAACAAUCAUGUUAGCAGGAAAGUUCCGUCCGGCCAUUGUUACUGGCACUUCAUAGGCCACUUCUCUAGUAAAAAUGUGUCCCCUAGGUGAAUGAAUUUUAAAUCCCUCUUUUGAUUCAUGGCAUGUAAUAUGAUGUUGCUCCACAAAUUUCUUGCUAAUGAACGUAUGUGAAGCACUAGAAUCAAAAAGAAUAAUUGCAGGGUGACUGGCCACGGAAAACGUACCCAUCAUCACCGGCUCUCCUUCCGGUGUAGUGGCCACUUGAGUGUAAUAUACACGCCCCGUCUUCUUUGUAUUUUUCCCCACAGCAUUUCCUUUGGGCUGAGCUGAUCUCCCAGAUCCUUGCGGAGCAUUUGAUUGAUUUUGCUUAGGAUAUGGGCAGUCUUUGAUGAAAUGUCCCGACUUGCCGCAAUUAAAACACCCAGUUGAAGAACUAGGCAAGGCAGGGAAUCGAGUGCCUGGGGCACCCGGCUGAUUUGGAGUAGUGGGGGUAUUGUUGGGGCGAAUAAUGAUUGGCUGUUUGAAAGGGAAUGAGGGUGGACGAGAAAAAGUGCGAUUUUGGUUUGAAGGCCGGAUCACAAACCGUUGCUUCUUCGCCUGGCCCUGAUUAGGCCUCUCACCACCGAAUCCCUUGUUUUUCCCAGAACUUGCGUACUUUGCUUCAACAGAUAAGGCUGUGCUGACAGCCUUUCCAUACGUGAGAUCUAUGCAUGUGGCCAUUUUCCUCUGUAGCCGAUCAUUUAGUCCUCUCAUAAAACAGUUCUUUUUCUUUAAAUCAGUAUUCACCUGGUCGAUGGCAUACUGUGACAGGUGAUUAAACUUGUUGAGAUACUGAUUGACAGUAUCUCCCCCUUGUUUUAACUUCAUGAAUUCUUCUUGUUUCAUAUGCAGCACUCCUUCGGGUAUGUAGUGCUCACGGAAGGCUGCUUUAAACUCUUCCAGGUGACUUGAUGGUUGACAGGUUGAAUAGCCACAAAAUUUCCCCACCAGGUACUGGCAGGACCACGUAGUUGUUGUGCUGCGAAUAACGACUUUUGCGUUUCUGAACAGCGGAGAAGACCAAACUUUUGUUCAAUAACCCGUAUCCACUCAUCGGCUUCUAGUGGAUCUUCAGCUUUGACGAAUAGGGGUGGACGGGUUUCAGAGAAGUCCAGAUAGGUGGUUUCACGGGGGCCUUGCUGAUAACCCCUUCCUGCUUGCUGCUGGAAUUGCUGCUGACUCGCCAUUUCCUUAAGGAAGCGGGUAUUGUCUGCGGUGGCAUUCACCAAGGUGGCAAUCGCCUCGGCUAAUGUGGGAGGAACCGGAGGUGGGUUUGGGGUAACAUCCCUUCCGCCAGAAGUUCCUGCUGCGUCCUGUCCUCGAGUCCUGGUCGGCAUCUGUGGUAAGAACAUUUGAAGUAAACAUAAUGUGCCAGAGAAACCUUCCAUUUUACAUUACUAUAAAAAGUAAUGAUACAGACUCGAUAUUACAUAACAGGAUACAUUACCCAUUAUACAAAAGUUCAACAUAUUAUACAACAGUACAACCUACAAUACACUACUCCACUUCUAUUACACCAUUAGUCCUGCUUCCCAUUACUCUUGGCGGCCUCAUCGUCAGGUGUGGGAGUCCAGACAUCAACCAACCUCAAGGAAGGAGGGGGCUCAAAAAGGUCUAACUCCCCACCCAGCGCGCAUCCCGCAACAUGAGAUGGUCCGGCUUCCGCCUCAGCAGGGUGUGCAGGCACACUAGGGUGUAAUUGUGAGUAUAGUACAUGGACUUCCUCAUGCAACGUAUUGCAGUAGACCUGCAGGUUGUCGACAGUUGAGCUAAGUUCUUUAAUUCGGGCCUGAGCCCUUGCUUCCUUAGCACAUGCCAGCAAACGAGACUGUACUGCCCAGUCAAGUGCUAAGUCCCGAUCAGCAAGCUGAUCCUGCAGGUGACGGAUGUCCCUUCUUAGUUCAUUGAUUCUAUCUCCGUCUGCGACCCAAGCAUCGGUCCUGUGUUGCAGCGCUGCUUGAAGUCGACUCACUCGGGCUUCAUGAUCUCCUAUGGGGUCAUUACUUCCACUGCUGCUGCUUUCAUGUCGAGGGGCUAGUUGAUGCCGGGGUACUCCAAUUGGUCCCGUUGACUUGCGUGUCGUUAGCCUUGUGCGUGGCGGCAUGUUUCUAAGGGGGGAAAUGUUAUUAGUAUAAUUCUUAGCAUGAUGCAUGUGUAAGUACAGAAUCAACCUUAGUCGAUUCAACCUUCUAUACAUUGCACUCUUCCUAUCUGGUCUUUAAGAUAGACUCUUCAGAAUACUUAGGUAAGAAGAGAAAAGAGUUUUUAGGUAAGACUUUUGAAAAUCCUUUUGAAGAUGCCUCAUAAUAUCUGCAAAGAAGGGCUACGCUCCGAUACCAGCUGUGACGGAACCUCCCAAGUAAUUAGGCCCACCUACAGUUGUCCUUGUCUAACAGACAUCAGACACCCUGUAGAUGUUCCUAAGUCACUUGACAAGUUCGGUAUCUUUCCUUACCUUACCAGGAACGUUUCACCUGUCUUGCAGACAUUACAGAACAUCGGAGAUAAAGAGAUGCGGAAGCGAUCACAUAAAUUACAUUUAUUUUAAAAGCAAGCUUAAGUUAUUUUAUUACAGACCAGAACUAAAAAAAGGCGAGUGCUGAGUAGUAAUAUUAUACAAACCAAGGGAGGCACAGACUCCUCCCGUUAAGUUAUAAGCAAAAGAUCCUAUGUGGAGGACCGAGUCCUCCCGCACUUCAGUCUUGUUUUUCUUCUUUAGGAACCACCUUGGCACAGAAGCAGCAGAAAUCUGCUACUUCCUCACCUAAAACAACGAAGGGAUAAACCCUGAGUAUGGAAUUACUCAGCAAGUCUUACUCGACUAAAGAAAAGACUCUCAAGGGUAUGCUUGUUAUAUGGGAGUCAAGGUAAGGCUUUUCAAUAAUCAAAGACUCUAUUUUGCAGAAAUGCUUACUAAAGUGGAUCCUUAAAAAUCCAAUUUUAUUUGUCAAGUUAAGUACAAUUACCUGCAACUAGAGUUCUUUCUACCCUAGUUCAAUCACUGGUCCUGCACUAGCCAAUUUCUUAACAAAAGCCCAUCAUCUUUAGUAGAAUGCUACGUGUAGGGCAGUGACCAAGUCUUCAUAACCGCGAAGGUACGGCGAUCCGAAUCGAUUAUACUCAGCUGAGGAUCUCCAAUCACACGACAUAUGUAGCACUUAACCCUUGCAUAUGUCAACCCGCCACCGGGGUUCUUAAGACCAGAUCAGGUUCACGCAAACCGAGAGCACAGAUACACCACCGUCCAGCCUCUUGCCACGGAGGGUACACGCUACUCUCGCCACCGCUCCACGCCCAUUUCAUGUUAUCUUAUUCUGGCCUUAGUCUGCCCGAGGCAAGGCUUACCCAUGACGAGGCAUGUGACCAGUUAAAGGGUCCUCGAUCAUCAAGCCUACAUCGACAAGGUCCUUAAUCGACUCAGACGGAGACACUACACCGAGACUCUCUUCUCGUGCAAGUCACCCGCCCGGUCUCAGCUUAAUCUUUUAACCCAAAAACUUGGUACCUGGCAGAGGUACAUCUUUUCCGAUGUUGAAUCCAUCAUGGCCAUGAUGGAUUCACCAUCAAGUUUUAUUUUCGAAAACAACCCUCCCACUUUGCCAAACAUCUUUUGUAAAACAAAUGCUUUUGUUUUUCUAAAGCAAUACUAAGCAUAGUAAAACCUUUUUGUAAAAACAGGGUUUCAAGGAGGGUAAUCAAGAUCAAGGAAGGUAAUGCAAGAAUUGUUUUAUCAAGCAACUCCUAUCACCUAAUGCAGCAAUCAAGUGAGAAAGAUUUUAAAAACAUCAAGGAAGGUGGCAAAUGCACCGGGGCUUGCCUUCGUUUACAGGUGAGUCGGGUUCGGAUCCACAAAUAUCGAAGUAGAAGCAGUUGUCUACUUGAGAAUCCGAAGGUGGUGGUGUCCUUUCCUCGGUGACUUCUAUUUCUUCUUCACGUUCUAAUCAUAACCAUAUAUAUACAUAUAUAAGAAUGAAUGCCAUGUAAUGUGCAUGAGAGUGCGAAGAUAAUAAAGAUUUAUUAUCUAAGUCUUGAAUACAACUUUCCUUCACGGAACUCCGAGAACUUAGGGUUUCCGGAGUCGGUAAAGGAGUUCAUAGGGCAGGGGGGGUGUUUUGGGGUUUGGUGAUCAAACAAGGUCCAAAUCAACCCAAACUCUAUCCAAGGCUUCUAAAUAUUGUUUUAAGUUCCCAUAAAAAGUUUGGGCAUUUUUGGACUUUCCAAUUAUUUUCUAAAAUUCCAUAACCAAUAUUUUUAACUACUUUAAAUGCCCUAAAAUUUCUUAUUUCUACUAAAAAUCACAAAACUAUUUUUAUUAAAUUCUAGGGAAAAUAUCAAGCCUCGGAAAAUUGGUUUCACAAUUUUAUCAUUUUUCUACUGUUUUCUAUAAUUGUUUUGGCUCUGGAGAUAAAAGAAAAAGAAAAAUAGAUGAAUAGUAUUGGACCGAAUCCAGCCUAGGACGGCCCACGACCAGAAGAAAUGCGUGCGCCCGCGCCCGCUGUGGAGUUUUUGCAACAGGGCCCUUGGGGUUUUAACUAAUUGGAGAUGGGUUUGAUUACUGUUUUACUGUGUCGCUGACAAUUUGCAGAUAAGCCCUUCAUGUUCUAUUUCUUCGCAGAGGGAGGUCCACGACAACGGCCGCGUGGAGGAUGAACUCCGGUGAGGUUGUGCCGGCGGAUUUAAGCAACGGCCAGUGCUCCCGAGCGGUGUACACCGGAUUAAACCCUUCCCGAACGAUUCCCCUAACUUAAUUUCACGAUUGGUAAGCUAUCACGCCCUGUCCACGUGAACCGCGAAUGAUGAGGACAAUGGUACGUGUUCCCGGUGAUCCCUGGCGGUCCGGUUCAAUUAAAGGGUUCGAGGGGUUUGCGGGGUACCUAAGGAGGCUAGAACAAGUGGCAGAGGGACUUGAGCUCACCUGAAUUGAGCUGGCCACGGUGAGGUCUUCUUUGCGGUGGCGGAAACCGAAUUGGGGGAAGUGAGCGAUUCUCUGGCUAUGGGGGCUAAUCGGAGACGGGAGUGGUGGCUAUGGCUUCGGUAUGACCUAGCGCAGCUGGCCGGGGGCUCAAUUUAUAGGCGGAGCGAGCGGUGGCACUUGAAUUGAUGAUGGCGCGGUGGCGGCCGGAGAGGAGGAAGAACCUUGGCGCGCGUGGUUACGUGUCCUAUGGUGUGGCAGUAACUCCGGUGAUCGAUAGACAGUUAGAGGGGGUCACGGUGAUGCGGUGGCGCGGUUAAGACACGCGGCACACGGUCGGACGGCGGCGGUUCACCGGCGAGCCUAUCGCUCUAGUCGCAAAGCAGAGGGGAAGGCAGGGGAGGCCGUCGGAGUGGUGUCCAGCUCACCGGCGGUGAGGAUCUUUACCGAGCUAUGUUUAUCCGAUGGCCACGACGCACGGAUCACGGCGAGCGGUGAUCAACGGUGAUGGACCACCGGCGACGAGCAGAGGGAUAGGAUCUUCUUCAGUUACCCUUUAUUGUACCAUGGGACAUUCAGUUUAUGACGCCUGACAGUCAUAGUUUAGGCUCGAUUUUCUCACAAAUUUUCAUGGCAACAUACCCAAUGAUCUGUAGCAAAGUUGUAGAUCUACAAUCCAUCUAUAACUUUACUACAAUGUGCUCCCACAAAAAGUCACUGGAUCUUGCUUAAAAUCAAGCCCUAAGUUCAUGUCAUCCUACUGUUAAUCUGAAUUUCAGACAUCAAGCAGUCUGACAGUCCAACUUCAGGCCCAAUUAUCUCCCAACUUUUCACAAGAACAUGGCUUGCACUCUCAAGCAAACUUGUUGUCCUAUAAUUGGGCUAUAAUUUUGAUGUGGUGACCUAGGGCACAAACCCCAUAAUUUGAAAGUUACAAGGGCUUCAAGUUGAGGCAAUCACACUGAAAUGCAGACUUAACCAAAAAGGGUUAAGUAUGGCUCUUUUGCACUUAAGUCCAAAUCUCAAGUUUUGGAUUGCAAAUUCACAUAUGAUUGACCCAAAUGACCUAAUAUACUUAUUUAACUUGGUUUUUGCACUUUAACCCAAAAGUGGACUAAUUUUGCACAUAGGCCCCUAGGGUUUAGUUCCAGGGUUCCAAUUAGGGUUUCUGGUAUCCCAGGGGUAUAAAUGUGACUCCACUUGGUUUUUGGGUAUAUUUUAUGACUCUUUCCCUAAAACCCUUAGGUUUUCUCAUCUUAGAUUAAGUUUUACCCCUUUAACCUCUAUUUAGGGUUAAGUUCCUUAACCAGGGUUCCAUUUGCAAAAACAUUAAAACAAUACAACUUGUUUGAAAUUUUUGCCUAGUGAAUGCACUCUAGGUGUGUCAAACAUAUGCAAUGCCAAUGCUCUGAUGUCAUGCUCAAGUUUUUGUUAUAGUAACACCAGGGGUGUUACAGUAGCUUGGGCAUUUUUAUGAAUUUGUUCAUUAAUUAACAUAGGACUAUCACUACUGUCAAAUUAGAUUCCAUUUUUCACUAUUUCCCAAAUACUAGGAUGGAGAGAAAAUAAAUGACUACGCAUUUUAUGACUCCAGAAAGAAUAAUCUUCUCCAUCAAAGUGAGAGGGUUUCCAAGUGGAAUAGACAAUAAAUGUGCAUUUGAAUUGUACGAAAUGCGAGAGUAAUCAAAUGAAUAAUUUUGAUUAACCGUUUUCUUUUUCGUGGACAAGUCUUUGUCGUCGUCGUCCCUUGGUGAAGAAGAGGAGGCGUCGCGGUUGUACUAGAUGAUCUUCUUGAUGUGUCUCUUCUUCUUUCCAUCCUUCUUUUUUUGUUUGAGCCUAAGUUAGUGAGCUUGUCUCCUUUUGGCUCAUCAACAUAGAAAGUCUCCUUCUCCUUAUCGUUGAUCACCAUCCCCUUGCCUUUAGGAUCCUUCUCUUCGGGCGGUUGGUCCUGAAUAAAGAGUACGACUCUAAUACCAAUUGAGAGCACCUAGAGGGGGAGGGGUGAAUAGGUGAUCCUAUAAAAAUCAUUUCUAAACAACACAAACUUGGUUUAUAAAUGUUAGUGAAAUAAAAACCAAGUUACUGUGAAUAGAGAGAGAGGAAGAGUACUCUUCACUUGAUUGUUCCUUUGAGAUAUGUAUUAAACUUUGGAACAAUAAUGCAAGUGAAUAUGUGAGAACUUUAUGGAAGAGAAGAAAUCACAUUAAGGAAAUGCACAAGUGACACGGUGGUUUUAUCCCGUGGUUCGACCAAUGUCUGCUCCACGUUGUGGUGACAUCCUUCGGUAAAGGAUUGCACUCAAUCCCUAUCAAGUGAUCCAAAUAUCAAACUUGAGUACCACAAUUUUCUUCCUUUUCUCAAGUAUUCCCUUUGUGAGGAAUCUCCACAAGUUGUAGUUUCUCACCCUUACAAAAUUGAUCACAAGUAAAUCGCAAGAGUAAGGGAGGGAAUAGAAACACACACAAGAACUAGAGUCACAACAACAACACGCACACAAGACAAGAAACAAGCACACAAAAUGGCGCAGCAGAGUUACAGCUCAAAGAAGUGCUCAAAUCUCUACCACAAUGAAACAAAUGCGUGCUUGCAAAGUCUAGGCAUUGUAGGAUGUUCAAUGGAUGCUUAGUGUUUUACUCCAUGCGUCUAGGGGUCCCUUUUAUAGCACCAAGGGAGCUAGGAGCUGUUGGAGCUCCAUUUGGAAGGCCCUGGUUGCCUUCUGUCCGUGGGUGCACCGGACUGUCCGGUGCACACUGGAUAGUGAACAGUACGUACGCUGGGCACGACAGUGAAUCUCCUGGCUAGUUUCCACUUCUGAGGGGCAUCGGACUGUCCGGUGCACCACUUGACCAUUGGCCCCCGGCCGACGUGGCAGGUAGCCAUUGGCGGCUGGCACACCGGACUGUCCAAUGCCUCGCGCGGACGGUCCGGUGAAUUAUAGCCGACGCAGGCUAGAAUUCCCGAGAGCGGCCAGUUGACUGGACCGUGCACCGGACUAACCUGUGCACACCGGAUUGUCUGGUGCUACGCGGUCCAGCACCUUUUCUCUCUUUCUUCCUUUGUCUUCUUUUGCUCCUUUUGAAUUUGACUUAGCUGAGUCCCUGGCACUUAAACAAACAUGAUUAGCACACAAAUCAAUUGACUAAGUGUCCAGAGCAUACAAUUUUGCUUGAUCACUACAGAUUUGCACUAAGUCCUCUUCCAAGCUCAAAUACUUUUGCUCAACAUCAUGUUAGUUUAAACAUAAAGUGUUGUGCAUCUAAUCAGCAAAACAAUAUAGAAAUGGCGCAAGGACACAUUUUCCUUUCAUCCAUCACAUCUUUUCUGAUUUUUUUGCAUAGAGCUGUUAGUAGAAAUAGCUAAUAAUAUUUUCCCCACAUCAUGGUUAUCGUACCCACGAAACAUGACGUGUUGCUCACUGUCCAUACUAUAAAGUAGUAACUCUAGACGUCCAAUACGACAAUAUGUAUACAUACUCCAUGAUAUUUUCUUUCCACCUUUUUCUAAUCUACUCGAUUGGAUUUAGUGGGAGAGAACAAGACGAAAUAACAUUUUCAUAGCAUUUUCUAAUUCAAUCUACUCGACUGGGAGAGAACAAGGAAGAGAAGAUAGAACACACCGUCUGAUGAUAUGAAGCGUUGGAGUGAUGGUGAACCUGGCACCGUCCAUCUUGUCCUAGAUGCCAUAUUAGGUAUUGUAUCCCUUUUUUUCAGAAAAAAAGCACUUGCUGUUGCUACUAUUUUUAAUGGGUAUUUUCUAUAAUGGUUUUAGUAAAAACCAAAUUAAGAAAUAAGAUAGAUGCUUGUGUUUUGAUGAUUGUCUAACCAUUUUUAUUGACAUGGAUAUUUUCUUCGAAGUUGAUGAAAAUGAUAUAUUCAAGACAUUUAUGUUCCUUCGAAAGAGUUUAAUAAAACAGUUAGAAAAAUAAUAUUAUAUAAUUAUAAAAUAAAUUUUUCGGGUUAUGCCCUUAUUGACAUGGAUAUUUUCUUCGAAGUUGAUGAAAAUGAUAUAUUCAAGACAUUUAUGUGCUUUUCGCAGGAAGCCGUUUAAAAAAAAGUGUUUGGUAGGUGCUUUUUCUAGAUAAAAGUCAGAGCCAAAGCUCUGGCAAAGAGGUCUUUAAUCAUAUUUGUGGUAGAGGUAAUAGGUGGGUACACCACUGCAAACCAUGAGAGCUAUACCGCACGACAUUACGUCCGCGUGCAUGCCUGACUUUUCUUGACCUGUUCGCCGCGGUUUAAAGCCAACUAUUUAGACGGUUAUAACUGUAACUUUUAGAGAUAAAAUACUAUAGAAAAAGUAGAAGCUGUUUUAGAAUAAGCCGCAGUGAAAUUGCUGCUUGUUUAGAUGCACGAAACAUGGAUCACACUCACUCAAUAAUGAGUAGUAGGGCUACUUCUCCCAACAACACAACAAUAAUGGAGUGGUUGCUGCUGCAUUAUUGCUCCAUGGAACAUUUGGAUCUACCACCUUGCUUUGGAUCUAUGCAAACAGGCACACAUGUUACUUGUCUUCUAAUUGAUCUAUCUAUUUCGCUUUCCUGCAUGCUUUAACUUGGAUGCUAUUAUUGUUGCAUGCAUCUGGUUGGAAUGUAUUACUAUCGGAUAGUCAAUCUUCUCCCGGAAUAAUCUACUAGGAAAAACGAGGAUAAUAAAAGCUAGUUUUGGAAUCACAUUUUUUCAAGUGAUUUUCAUUUUUUUCAGAAAAAAUAGUUUAUUUUCCAAAAAAAGAAUUCUUUGGAAAAAUAGAUCCGGCAAACUAGCCCUAAGAUGAAUUUAUGUACGUCGGGAUAAUGAUGAUGUUGAUAGAAGGGGUCGUCUUCAUCUAUGGAUCGUCUGGUGAAGAUAUUUUUGGCGCUGGAUCGAUCAAGUGGUGGCCGACAACUUGCAGCUCCUUUGUGAUUUGCAUCUUCUUUAGGUAAAAGAAAAGUGCAUCUUUUAACACCCUUAUUAUUAUAGUACAUUGAUUGAUCAUAAAAAUAAGAGGUGACAUCUCUAAAUUUUCGAGACGAGUCAUUAAGUUGUUUAUGGUGUAUUUGGUGCCAUUUCAUCCAAGUGUCAUACACAUAGGGGUGAAAAUAGAAACGGUAGUUUUUGGUUACCGGGAAUUGUUUUCAAAAUUUUAUCGAAAUUCAGGGCUAAACGGAAACUGAAAUGGUUACCGAAAAUAAGGAAACGAAAUCGGUAGAAAAAAUCAGAAACGAAAACGGAAACGGAAACGGUUUGAGCCUCUUUCUAUUGAGUCCGUAUUUUACCGUCAGUGACAAAUUUGUCAAUUUUUCAAAAAAUUUAAAUUUGAACCGAUCUUUGUAAAUUCACAAUAACUUAGAAAAAUAUGGAACUAAUUUAUUAUUUUUAUAAAAUCAAGAUCUAUCUAAUGGUAUAUAGAUGAGAGUUGUUUGAAAUUUUUAUGGAUCUUAUUUAUAGUUUCUUUCCAAUUAUUACUCUUGAUACAAUAAACUGCGACCCACUGGAAAGUCGAUCCUCUUCCACUCAUGACCUAUGAGGCCAUACACUUGAGACCAACUCAUGGCCUAUCAAGCCUAGGCCUGAGUACCCAAGCAAUCUACAGGGUUCCCAAGACAAAGAGUCGUGCGUCGAGACUCAGGCUACGAAGGCGAGGGAUCAACAUGACACAGAGAGAGUAAUGAUGAUGCCGGAGCCCCUCGCCACCCACGUGCAGCCAAACUUAAAGAGUCCGGCCAGAGAGCUCAGACGAGUAUGACAAAUAUCGAAGGAUACGUUUCUACCGAGGUAGAACACUUCGUUCUUCCACGGCGCAGUAACUCCUUCCACGAGAAGCUAACUGUAAUAGGCCCCCUCCUUGGACUAUAAAAGAGGGAGGGUUGGUCGAGACGAACAGAGGACAACGGAGGCAAAGCCAAGAAGGACACCGCCAUAACGCCCAAGGCUUAGCUAGAUAGUGAACACUAGAUUCAUAGUCCUUAGACCUUACUACACAUAAGAGACUUGAGAACUCUCCCUCUCUCGCCCGCUUGUAACCCUUACUACGAGCAUUGAGUAACAAGGUGUCGGUAGUGUGAGCCACCAAAGAUUGGAUGUAUGGACGUUCUGUCUGAACCAGUAUAAAUCUUACGACCACUGAGCACAUCAUCCAGAUCCAGAACGCGUACAAACAAAUUUACUUGUCGGAGCUAGUUUAAAACAUUGACACCCACCAUAUUUUUCCUUAAACCAAACACACACCUGUAUUGCAUCAGUGUCUGACUUAGCUAAUUAGGGAGAACAAAUCAUGCCAAUAUGAGGUAUAUGUAGUACAUAUUAGUUUAUCAUAUAAUUUACUUUCUUUUUAAAACAUAAAAUGACCAAUAUUUAUCCUAAUAAGUAUAGUAACUUAUCUAUUUUUAAUCAAUUUUGUAGCUACAAAAAAUCAACAUUUACAAAUAAAUGAAACAACCAAGAUAUACUUCAUGAUGGAUUUAACAAAACUAAUUCGUCAUUAUAGAUGCUCGUACAUUUCUUUAGACACAACCAAAGCAACAAAAGUUUGGUAUAAAAAUAUUGAAACACCAUAGGUACGUUAGACCGUGAGAGAAAUAGGUAUGCACACGCAUGCAAGUUGCCACAUGCAUGCAUGUAUCUAGCUUAAUUAUGUGAGAGGAUCAAAUAUUUUUGAGUGCGUGGAGACCUACACAAUUUUUUCAAUUAGGGCUAGUUUGGUACCCUAUUUUCCAAGGGAUUUUCAUUUUUCCAAUAAAAAUUAAUUUAUUUUCCUUUGAAAAAAUAGAAAUCCCUUAAGAAAAUAUUGUUCCCAAACUAACCCUUGCUGUUUUGAUUUGCCCGGACCCAUUUCUGUAUCCCAUCAAACAAAAGGGGAUCGAGUGAAAAGACAUGUUCUGUGGAUGAGAAAACUCUGAAAUUUCAAGUCGUACGAUAUCGCGAUCAGACCAUUUGACGUGUCACGAGACAAAAUAUUUUGGCUUCAGAUCUGGUCUUUUUUUCCUAGCUCCAAUGGACGGCAAUUGCUUCUUGUGUAGGCAAUAUGAUUUAUUUUGUCAAAAGAUUGGCGGUAUCCGUCGAAUAAACUUGUAACCUUUUUUAGGCCAUGUGAGGAAGCAUUCAGUUUCUAAGAAACUGGUUUAUAGAAAUUAAGGUGGUUCCAAACAUACCAGUUUAUGACUCAAUUUAUAGAAAUUAGAUUCUUAGUUUUUAAAAACCAAAACGCUGACUUCUCCUAGCUAAAAGAUAAAAACUGGUUUGUUAAAAAUCGGGUUGCUUCCAAACAGGGUCUUAGACGAGUCCCGUGCGGAUGCAUCAUGAGUCCAUUACACAAAUUUAGUAGAAUAAACUUAUUUCUCAUAUUAUUACUAGUUGUUAACUUAUGAGGAAUGAAAUGGUGAUAUAUCAACUAAUUCCUGUGGACACCUUUUCGGGCGCCAAUCACUAUAAUGAGAAUCGGCAGCGGUGCUCUCUGCACAGGCACGGACGGUCCGCGGCCAGGGGCCGAACGGUCCGCGACCUGGCGCAGGGCUUGGGUUCCCUGCCUGACGUGUCAGACGGUCCGCGCCCUGGAGCCAGACGAUCCGAGCGUACGAAGGGGCGGUGGAGUUCACCGGCGGCGCUUGGAUCUCGCUCCUGGGAGGGACCCCGUCGGGGAGGAGAGAUCCUAGGUAUUGUCUAGGCUCGGCAGGCCGACCUAGACUCCUGUGAUCGACGUAGAGCCGAAGAGAAGCGGAGAAUUUGGGGUAGGGAAAGACUAACCUAGAGCUAAACUAGAACUACUCCUAAUGCAUAAGUAAAACGAGAAAUAGACUUGAUUUGAUCGAUUGUUGGGGGUUCAAUCGGCCGUAGCCCUUCAUCUAUAUAAAAGGGGAGGUCUGGAUCCGCUUCAAAUUGUUUCCCGAGUUAAUCCCGUGGUUUUAGGUAACAAAUCCUGCAAGAAACUAGGAACCCUAACUGACUCUGCGCACGCGCGAACCGUCCACGCCACCACCGCGGAUCGUCCGGCCUCAGGGCCGGACCGUCCGCGAGGCUCUUUUUGGUGUUCAACAUAUGCCCCCCUACCUUUUGGUGAAGGUUGAUGAACCAAAAGCAUAUGAACUAAACUUGAUGUAAGUCACCGGCUUUUCAAUAUGGAGAUCAUUCAAUAAAGCACCAAUGUAUAAAGGUCAUUUCGGAUUGUAUCUUCCUCGGCCAUGACCAUUUGUUCAAUGGAUCAAAAGGAAUAUAAUGGAGGUGCCCCCGAGUCUAGAUAGACAAAGGGACUAUACAUGUGCCAUGCAUUCAUCGUCGUACCAUUCCAUAUUUGAACUGGAUAAUAUACCGACGAUGAAUAAACGGGUGGAAAGUAUCUUGGUCUCAUGUUGCGUCGCCUUUUGGAACGUUUUGUUCGACCGUUUCGUUUCAGCAGGUGAUCGGGGUUUCUUCGUUGACCGAUCACGUGGAACAGUCUUCUUGCUAGCAUUUUUGGCUAGAAAUUGAUCGAAAGUAGGGCCGGCUUUUACUAGCCGACCAUGUGGGUCAUGUUAGCUUUUCCCUCGCGUCUCUUUCCUUGCUUUGUGUGGACGCUGACGCCUCUGGCCAUGGGCGGACCGUCUGGCUGAGCCAGCCGGACUGUCUUUAUGAGCACCGGACCGUCCGCGAUACUCAGGUCAGGUUGUCAUGCCCGACUCCUUAAUUGUAGCUGCCCCCGGUGCCUCCGGAUUUGUUAGUCUUAUUGUCCAGAGCUUUUCAAGCAACCUCCUUCUGCGAUAUAUUUGAUGUGCGAGGAUCACCAAUGAUGAUGUCUUUGCUUUUGCUUUUAUCGGCCAUUUCGGGCUAAACUAAGACCAUUUCGCAUGCGACAUCUAUUGUAUUAACAGGAAAUGGUUGUGUGUCCACUUGCAUCUCCUGAAAAGACAACCAGACCUCAUUUAUGGCCGAUUGUACCUGUCGACGAAAAACAUUACAAUCAUUGGUGGCAUGAGAAAAAGAAUUAUGCCACUUAUAAUAAGCACGUCUCUUUAAUUCAUCUAUAGGAGGGAUAGUAUGAGUUAAUUUAAUGUUGCCAUUUUAAGUAGCUCAUCAAAUAUCUUAUCGCAUUUGGCAACAUUAAAGGUAAAUUUAAUCUCUUCUUGUCGAUUCUUUUGAACCGGCUGUAAGGAAGAAUAUGCCUAAGAUUUGGCCUUUGUUGGCCAAAUAAACUCAACGGUAUAUACAUCUGCGGAUUCAUCAUCUGAACUAUCACACUCUAUUAGAUGUAUUGUACGGGCGGCUGAUUUUGGUCUCAUUAAAUCGACUUUUACAGGCUAAAGCCCGCUGUUGUAGCUGGGCUAUCGAAAAGAACUGGGUCCCAUCUAAGUUGUCUCUUAAGUAAGAUAGCAACCCAUUAAAAGCUAGCCCUGCUAGCUCUUUGUCUGCGACAUGAAUUCGAAAGCAUCGGUUUCUAGUGUCCCGAAACGUCCGGAUAUAAUCAUUAACCGAUUCUUCGUGUCCUUGUCGAACUAAAGCUAAGUCAGCUAGCCCUAAUUCAUAUUCUCCGGCAAAGAAAUGUUCAUGAAAUUUACUUUCUAACUCAUUCCAGGAAUUAAUGGAAUUAGGAGGCAGGGCGGCAUACCAUGCAAAAGAGGUACCGGUAAAGGAUAAAGAAAAUAACCGAACGCGAAACGCUUCGCCAUCGGCCAAUUCGCCUAGAUGUGCUAGGAACUGGCCUAUGUGUUCGUGUGUGCAUCUCCCAUUCUCACCAGAAAACUUAGAAAAUUCUGGUAUCCUUGCCCCUUGUGGAUAUGGGACAGUGUCAAACCGGUGAUUAUACGACUUUUGGUAUAUGAUUGCCCCACUUUGGCUACACUAACUCCGAACUUAUCUCGAAAUAGUUCGGCCAUCUCUUCCCUAAUUUUUUCCAUUGCACCUGGUGGCAGACUACCGGAUCCUGGGCUGUGGGGCUCAUUUAGUCGGGCAUUAGUAUACCGACCUUCUUGUCGUGACCGAUCGAUAGUGUUGAUCGAUCUGUGAUUGUAUGGUGCGUUAUGAUUUAAAUAUGUAGGGGCGAAACAUACUGCUGUUGUGGUGUGUAAUAAUUGGGUGUAUAGUGCGCAACAGCAGGUUCUACGUUUGCGUACCCGGUUUGUCCAAUGGUAAAUCCGAACUGACUGGUUGUGUUCGCCAUUAUCGGGACGCCACGUGGUAGUCCUGGUGCAGCCUCGAACUGUCCGACAGGGAAAGCCGGACGGUCCGCGUAAAGGCCGAACAGUCCGAAUAGAAGCUCGGACGGUCCGACUGCGUCCAGGGUCACCGAUCUGCUGAGCAGGGACGACUAUGGUCCUAGGACGGUCCAUGCAGAAGCUCAGACGAUCCGAUCGUGUUCAGGGGCGUUGAUCUACCAAGAAGGGACGACGGUGGUUGUAUUUGCCCUGAAUAUGAGUUCAUCGGCAUAUCAUAUAAAGGCUGGGGCUACGAAUCCCCAUUUGUUGCCGAUGCAGCAGACAUAGAUACCUUAUGAUGGAAAACUAGGAGCAACAGACUUUUCCAACGUACGCGUUAAUUUUCUAAUUGACUCUUCUAACCCUCUAAUCUGUUGUUUCAUUUGAUUUUGCUGAUGAUCUACAUACUGUUUAAUAGAUUGGAUGUCAUCGGGUUUACUUACGUUGGGGACUUGAAGCGAAGAUAGAAGAGAUGCGACGUCGAUCUCUCCAUGUUUGACAACUUUCUAGUGGCGAUCCACCGGGUAUUGUGAUAAGAAUUUCUCCUUCGUUUGACGCAUGUAGUUCUCGUAUUGCUGUUGCUCAUCGGCCGUCAGACUUUCAACAAUCGGCUUUAGGAUAUUGUCCGGGGAGAUAUCGGUGUGAUCUUUAGAACCGGUCAUUUGAGGGCCUGAUUUUUAGUAGAUCUAAACACCUGUCCCUAGCGAAGUCGCCAAAAAGUGUGUUGACACCUUUUCGGGCGCCAAUCACUAUAAUGAGAACCGGCGGCGGUGCUCUCUACACAGGCGCGGACGGUCCCCGACCAGGGGCCGGACGGUCCGCGACCUGGCGCAGGGCUUGGGUUCCCUGCCUGACGUGUCGGACGGUCCGCGCCCUAGGGCCGGACGGUCCGCGCGUACGCAGGGGCGGCGGAGUUCACCGGCAGUGCCUGGAUCUCGCUCCUGGGAGGGACCCCGUCGGGGAGGAGAGAUCCUAGGUGUUGUCUAGGCUCAGGAGGCCGUCUAGACUCCUCUGAUCGACGUAGAGCCGAAGAGAAGCGAAGAAUUUGGGGUAGGGAAAUACUAACCUAGAGCUAAACUAGAACUACUCCUAAUGCAUAAGUAAAACGAGAAAUAGAAUUAAUUUGAUCGAUUGUUGGGGGUUUAAUCGGCCGUAGCCCUUCAUCUAUAUAAAGGGUGUCUAGAUCCGCUUCAAACUGUUUCCCGAGUUAAUCCCGCGGUUUUAGGUAACAAAUCCCGCGAGAAACUAGGAACCCUAACUGACUCUGCGCACACGCGGACCGUCCGCACCACCACCGCGGACUGUCCGGACCGCGGACCGUCCGGCCUCAGGACCGGACCGUCCAUGAUGCUCUUUUUGGUGUUCAACAAUUCCGUUCCAAGAACCAAAUAAAAAAGGUAAAAAUGAUAGACUAUCUCGUUCCUUAAAUCAAACACCCACUUCAUGUCUCUCUUUUCAACCACACACCCAUAUCUUUAGAAAGCAGUGCAGAAGAGUUUCGUCAUGAUUGACCAUUGAUAGUCAUCCUACAGGGCACCCUAUCUCAGAACCAAAACAUCUCUUGCUUGCUCUACCUUCCGAUGUUCUCAUAUCUAAAAGUAGUGGCAUGAGAGAUUUAAAUCGUACUGUUAUUUGAAACUCGAAGCUUGACUUUCAUACGCAGCAGGCUUGGAUCACGUAGGAAGCGAGGUAUAAACUUCUCUGCAGCUAGAAUCGCCAAAUUAAAGUAUAUACUACUCACUCCGUAGACAUGUACUCACUACCGGAAUCGCGUUUUUUACCGAGUGUUAAAUUUAAAAACUUCACACGAAUUUUUCAAUAAUGAUAAAAUGAUUUUAAAUUAAAAAACUGUCAACUACAAUGUUUCAUUACAUUUCAAGACCUACAACUUUUAUUUUGGUGGUUUUUCUAUCCGACAUAGUUUGAAAAAUUCAAAUUUCAAAAUUCAAACAUAGUUUUUAAAUUCAGACGUAGUUUUCGUUGACAAUAUGACUUCAAAUGAAAAAGUUGUCAACUAUAAACUUCUAUAAUUUCUCAAGACCUACAAAGUUUAUUUUGGUUGUUUGGUCAUUUAUUUAUCUCAUAUGAUGGUUCUAACAAUAUGCACAAAUUAUAUACGUCUCUCUCGUAGUUCCAUAAACUACGAGAGAGAUAUAGAUUUUAUGAACAAAUAUAUUUUUAUUUUGUCAUAUGAAGAAAUGUUCAAUAUAUAAAUUGUACAUCAUGAUGAGUUAUACAAAUUUGUAGUUGAAAACUUUUUCAUUUGAAUUAAUUUACUACUUUAAAAUAUGAUUUUUAAAUUGUUUUUGCCUAGUGUUGGAGAAAAAACACUCGGCAAAGGGUUUUUUGCCGAGUGUUGCCGAGUGUCGAAAAAAGGCACUCGGCAAAGAAACUCUUUGCCGAGCGUCAAAAAUAAAACACUCGGCAAAGAGCUUCUUCGCCGAGUGUUUUCUUUUACCAAGGGUUUUUUGCGUGGUACUCGGCAAAAUAGCUUCUUUGUCGAGUGCCCGAAAAAAAAACACUUGGCAAAGAAUAUGGCACUCGGUAAAGAGCCAAAUUCCGAUAGUAACUCGAUCUAUAUUAAUAAUGAUGAUGAAUCUCGAUAUAUAUAUAUAUAUAUAUAUAUAUAUAUAUAUAUAUAUAUAUAUAUAUAUAUAUAUAUAUAACAAGUACAUUAAUUAUUAUAUAAAUAUUCAUUGAAAAUGAAUUUUGAUUUGGGACCCAGAGAGUAAUAUACCGUAUACACAGAGUUUUAAGUUUCUGCCGACAAGAGUUAAUAAGCCAUGACAAUGACAGGAUGCUGCACGAUCCAACCGGCAACACAAGAGGUCGUUGGGACGCACCGUCCAAAUGAUGUGGCGCCACCUUAAUGGCCCCAGGGCUCCUCCAGGCUCCAGUGGUGUGUGGAUAAGAAUGUAAAGAAGCUUCCAAUUGGUAACACCUUAUUCAUCUCUAGCUUUCAUAACCCCACUCCGCUAAAACUUUUAGUUAGCGACAUCGCACGAAGGAGAACACUAACUUAAUUUUGAAGAUACGGUAGUAAAUGUUUUUACGAGACUUAGUAUAGACACAUUUGUACAAUACUCAUGAACAUGCUAUACUGGGAGCCUGAUGGCACACAAAGUAUAUGUAUAUUUUUUUUUAAAAAAAACUACACAUACAUGACAACAUCUACUCAUAUAAUAUCGUUUUCAAAUAUCCAGCUUCAAAACACAUAAAAGGUACUCCCUCUAUACCAAAUUAGUAGCCGUUUUAAUGAAUGUCAAUAAUGAAUCUAGAUACAUAUACCAAACAUAUAGAUCAAUUAUUAAAUAAAUUUGUUAAAAGACUAAAACGACCUCUAUUUUUGAAUAUAGGGAGUAAUUAAUAGGCAACAGAGUUUAAAAAUGGUUCACAUAAAACAACAUGCUUAAACGCUAUAUAUGUUUUUUUUUGGCAGCUAGUAGACUGGUAGAGGGAACGAUGUGAGGUAGGUAUAUACAUGCAUGCCAUACUAUAUCCAUCUCUGCUUCCGUGACUUGAGUUAAUACUAUCGUUAUCCUACUCACAUGUUUAGUCAUGCUAAUCCCACCGUCCACCGUGCAAUGGCGCGUGGAAUCGCGUAUAAAAUCCCCCCCCCCCCCCCCCCCCCCCCCAAGCUAUAGCUAGCCAGCCAUCCUACUGUCACACACACACACACACACAGACAAGUGGUUUCCAAAGCCAAGUGUGUGUACUAGCAACCAGCUAGCUCGGGCGGCAGCAGGCAGCCAUCAUGUCGGAGGAGAAGCACCACCACUUCUUCAACCACCACAAGAAGGACGAGGAGCAGCCCGCCGGCGAGUACGGGUACUCCGAGACCGAGGUGGUCACCGCCACCGGCGAGGGCGAGUACGAGAGGUACAAGAAGGAGGAGAAGGAGCACAAGCACAAGCAGCACCUCGGCGAGGCCGGCGCCAUCGCCGCCGGCGCCUUCGCACUCGUACGUUCAAAUACAUCACAUAUAUAACUUGCUCGUCGCCGUCGACGACGUACCUAGCUACCUGCCACCGAUGCUUCUUAAUUGUGCUUGUUCUUCGUGCUGACCUUCCAUGGGUGCUUUAUUUCCUCCCGUACAGUACGAGAAGCACGAGGCGAAGAAGGACCCCGAGCACGCGCACAGGCACAAGAUCACGGAGGAGGUCGCUGCCGCGGCGGCCGUCGGCGCCGGCGGCUACGUAUUCCACGAGCACCACGAGAAGAAGAAGGACCACAAGGACGCCGAGGAGGCCAGCGGCGAGAAGAAGCACCACCACCUCUUCGGCUGACCGUAGUACCGGCCGGCGCGCGACCGAGCUAGCUAGCUCCGGCGCACACAACCACACACCUGUUUAAUUCUGUACUGCAUGCGUGUGUAAUUUGAUGGUUCACAAUAAUGAGUCCCUCUCCGGACCUUGGUAGCUGCUUGCUUGUGGUGAGUGAGAGUGUGAGACUGAGGGAGAAGAGGUGGUGGGCGUGGGGCUACGUCGAGAGAGGCGUGUUCCUGUAAUCCU
RNAcentral lists this long non-coding RNA (32912 nucleotides) under Zea mays. Its description in RNAcentral is "long non-coding RNA (ZMAY_LNC001075)". The record is from RNAcentral. Lineage: Eukaryota; Viridiplantae; Streptophyta; Magnoliopsida; Poales; Poaceae.